GAGGCCAAUAGCGGAUAUAACUCUCAUGCUGGAGUGCCGAGAGUUGGAAACGUUCCGGCGCUGUAGGAUGUGGCUGCGGCCGAUUAGGUAGAUGGUGGGGUAACGGCCCACCAUGCCGAUAAUCGGUACAGGUUGUGAGAGCAAGAGCCUGGAGACGGUAUCUGAGACAAGAUACCGGGCCCUACGGGGCGCAGCAGGCGCGAAACCUUUACACUGC
This 217-nucleotide ribosomal RNA is filed under the name halophilic archaeon. Its description in RNAcentral is "partial 16S ribosomal RNA". It matches the Rfam family "Archaeal small subunit ribosomal RNA", at positions 142 to 358 of the family's 1478-position model. Lineage: Archaea; Methanobacteriati; Methanobacteriota; Halobacteria; Halobacteriales. The record is from RNAcentral.